GACGAACGCUGGCGGUGUGCUUCACACAUGCAAGUCGAACGAGGUAGCAAUACCUAGUGGCGGACGGGUGAGUAACGCGUGGGAAUCUGCCUUUUAGAUGGGGGGAUAACGGGUCGAAAGACUCGCUAAUACCGCAUAUGACGAAAGUUGAAAGGAGUAAUCCGUCUAAAAGAUGAGCCCGNGUCCGAUUAGCUAGUUGGUAGAGUAAAAGCCUACCAAGGCGACGAUCGGUAGCUGGUCUGAGAGGAUGAUCAGCCACAAUAGGGACUGAGACACGGCCCAUACUCCUACGGGAGGCAGCAGUGGGGAAUUUUACGCAAUGGGCGAAAGCCUGACGUAGCGACACCGCGUGAGCGAAGAAGCCCCUUGGGGUGUAAAGCUCUGUCAGCUGGAACGAAAAAAAUGACGGUACCAGCAGAGGAAGCAUCGGCUAACUACGUG
Molecule: ribosomal RNA, 441 nt
Filed under: uncultured bacterium
Lineage: Bacteria
Description: bacterial SSU rRNA
Rfam family: Bacterial small subunit ribosomal RNA
Source: RNAcentral